Long non-coding RNA from Betta splendens (Siamese fighting fish), 1783 nucleotides. RefSeq lists it as uncharacterized. The record is from RefSeq and is a predicted model, not a curated record. NCBI's taxonomy places the organism in Eukaryota, Metazoa, Chordata, Actinopteri, Anabantiformes, Osphronemidae. The transcript is spliced from 5 exons.
UACAUCAUCAUUAAUUUACAGUUCUACUAAGUACUUCAUGGUCUACUACCAAAGCAAAUAUCAACCUAUUUUGCAUUCAUAAACUAUUGUACAGUAAUUAGCAUUACAACCAAUAGCUGAUCCUCUUUGCCUCACUAUCACCUUCUCCCCACAAUAUGAUGUAGUUUCACACAAGAAAAGUGGUACGUUGCGCAGAGUUUACAGUAAAAUUAGUUAUUACCCAUUGGCAAGACAAUAAUCUACUACCGCAGUAGAUUAUACAUUACUAAUCUAAUAAUUUUAGUAACAUGAUUUAUUCAAAAUCAAAGUUUCUUAAUUGGUUGUCUGUUUACUUACCAUGUGACAGUGGAUCGACACUUUACUCUUAAAAUGUACAGUGAAAUGAGCUUAUACUUUGUGUAGUAGUAUAUGAAGUACUAAGUAGAACUAUGAGGCAACUUCGAUGGAAUCUAGUCUCUAAAUUGGCAGAAUUUAUUUAAUUAAAGGGUCAAGUUUGGUCAUUGACUUAAAUUUAUUUAACUAUACGAAAACUUAGUAAUGUAUUACUCCAAAAAUAUACAGUAAAAGUAACGGAUAUUUGCUGUAGUAGAACAGGAGUUAUCAAAGGGCAAAGUUCAGCUACUGGUGUCAGUUGAACUUACUGAAUGAUACUUUAUGCAUUAUUUAAAAACUAUGCAGUAAAAUAAGUUGAUAUUUCCUGUGGUAGUAGUCUAUAAAGUACUAGGUAGUGAUGUCCCAAUUUGAGUAAUUUAUUCAAAUCCAAGAUUUAGAAAAAGAGGCAAAUUGCCUCUUUAUAUUUUCCGUUAGUGAAUAUAUUUAGACAUUCACUGUAAAUUCUGUAAUUUCUUAAAUUUAAUUCAUUUCCUUGCAACAUUUAUCUUAAUAUCGCCCCAGAUGCUCCUAAAAGUGAGAGUCUCGGCUUUUCUCAGUGAUCGCAACAGUUACCGUAACUAUAGCACGAAUCGCGCACCUUGAAUAUAGCGACGGCUCAUUUGACCACGGAAAAGUAAACGGCGGUUCAUUUGACCGUGGUGACACACCGGAGCAAACGGCAACUGUAGCUUGUUUGAUCCUUUCGGGGACAGUCCACCAGAUGACGCAUUUCAAACAGUUCUAGCAAGAAUGGAAACCCUUAAACGCUGUCUGGAAUGCUCAAGAGGGAGGUUGAUGGAUGCAACAGCAGUACAAGACAUCCUUGAAAACAUUGAGAAAUAUACUCAGGAGGUCAAGGAAAUGCAACAGGGGGCUCAACAAGUGCUUAUAGACACAAGCUGUUACGGCGAUAAAGAGGCACGUGAUGGCUGGACUGUCAUGCGAGGUGGUGUCAGCAAAAGUAAAACUCACAAGUCAUAGAGUCAAUUGACUCUCUGCAUAUUCGUUGAACCGAGGGCUGCUUGAAGUGCUGUUUCUGUUGUAAUAGAGAUUAACGUGCACACGCAUCAUAGACCAGAAGCACAAGUGGCCAUUGGUUUUAAUGCUGUCAACUAGGGCUCAAGCAUGCAUUAAAGAGUCCAUUUACCUAAGAUGAUGUGGUUGUUAUUGCUCCUGAUACAAAGUUUUCUGUGUGUACACUUAAUGUCAGUUUUCACAAAGACAAAUUCUGUAACAUCUGUUUUCUCUGUUUGAUUAUGGCAGGUAAUGUUUAUAUUAGUGUUUAGAAAGAUAAAAGAAGGUACAGUACUGGGUUGUAUAGCACCGACGCCUGUGUGGUUACGUGUAACACUUGACUAUUUUAAAUAGAUUUCAGUAUUCCCCAGUAAAUAAAAAAAAUUCUACAAAUGUC